RNAcentral lists this ribosomal RNA (903 nucleotides) under uncultured bacterium. RNAcentral describes it as "bacterial SSU rRNA". It matches the Rfam family "Bacterial small subunit ribosomal RNA", at positions 27 to 921 of the family's 1533-position model. The record is from RNAcentral.
GGAUGAACGCUGGCGGCGUGCCUAACACAUGCAAGUCGAACGGAGAUGCGAUGUGAGCGAGAGGUGCUUGCACUGAUUAAUCUUUUCGUAUCUUAGUGGCGGACGGGUGAGUAACGCGUGGGUAACCUGCCUUAUACCGGGGGAUAACACUUAGAAAUAGGUGCUAAUACCGCAUAAGCGCACGGUGUCGCAUGACACAGUGUGAAAAACUCCGGUGGUAUAAGAUGGACCCGCGUCUGAUUAGCCAGUUGGCAGGGUAACGGCCUACCAAAGCGACGAUCGGUAGCCGGACUGAGAGGUUGAACGGCCACAUUGGGACUGAGACACGGCCCAGACUCCUACGGGAGGCAGCAGUGGGGAAUAUUGCACAAUGGGGGAAACCCUGAUGCAGCGACGCCGCGUGGAGGAAGAAGGUCUUCGGAUUGUAAACUCCUGUUGUUGAGGAAGAUAAUGACGGUACUCAACAAGGAAGUGACGGCUAACUACGUGCCAGCAGCCGCGGUAAAACGUAGGUCACAAGCGUUGUCCGGAAUUACUGGGUGUAAAGGGAGCGCAGGCGGGAAGACAAGUUGGAAGUGAAAUCCAUGGGCUCAACCCAUGAACUGCUUUCAAAACUGUUUUUCUUGAGUAGUGCAGAGGUAGGCGGAAUUCCCGGUGUAGCGGUGGAAUGCGUAGAUAUCGGGAGGAACACCAGUGGCGAAGGCGGCCUACUGGGCACCAACUGACGCUGAGGCUCGAAAGUGUGGGUAGCAAACAGGAUUAGAUACCCUGGUAGUCCACACUGUAAACGAUGAUUACUAGGUGUUGGAGGAUUGACCCCUUCAGUGCCGCAGUUAACACAAUAAGUAAUCCACCUGGGGAGUACGACCGCAAGGUUGAAACUCAAAGGAAUUGACGGAAGGG